Molecule: ribosomal RNA, 468 nt
Filed under: uncultured bacterium
Lineage: Bacteria
Description: partial 16S ribosomal RNA
Rfam family: Bacterial small subunit ribosomal RNA
Source: RNAcentral
GACGAACGCUGGCGGCGUGCUUAACACAUGCAAGUCGAACGGAAAGGCCCUGCGUUUGUGGGGUGCUCGAGUGGCGAACGGGUGAGUAACACGUGAGUAACCUGCCCUUGAAUUUGGGAUAACUUCAGGAAACUGGGGCUAAUAUCGGAUAGGAGCUAUUGCUGCAUGGUGGGGGUUGGAAAGUGUCGGCGGUGUGGGCUGGACUCGCGGCUUAUCAGCUUGUUGGUGGGGUAGUGGAUGACCAAGGCUUUGACGGGUAGCCGGCAUGAGAGGUUGACCAGCGACAUGGGUACUGAGGGACGGCCCAGACUCCUACGGGGGGCAGCAGUGGGGAACAUUGCGCAGUGGGGCGAAGCCUGAUGCGACAAAUCCGCGUGCGGAAUGACGGGCUUUGGGUUGGAAACCACUUUCUCCUGUGCCGAAGCGGGCGUGACGGUAAUUGGUAAAGAAGCACCGGCUAACUACGUG